GAUAGAAUACCGAAGGAUUGGAACUAUGAUAUUGAUGCUGGCUUUGAUCGAAAGCCAGGUUUAUGGCCUCCUGAAAACAAAGCAGAUAAUCCUUCAUUACAGAAUCCAUUGCUUCGACAAGAAAGAAUGGGGUGUGGUUGGUUGGGUGCCAUAUUUGAGUGGGAGGGUGUGUUGAUUGAGGACAAUCCUGAAAUUGAAAAGCAGGCCUGGUUAGCUCUUUCUCAGGAAGAAGGAAAAUCCCCUCCCCCAGCUUUUAUCCUCAGAAGAAUAGAGGGGAUGAAGAAUGAACAGGCAAUUUCUGAAGUCCUUUGCUGGUCAAGAGAUCCUGCUCAGUUGAGAAGAAUGGCUGCUAGGAAGGAGGAAAUCUAUCAGGCAUUGCAGGGGGGAGUUUACAGACUAAGAGCAGGGUCAAAAGAGUUUGUGAAUAUCCUGAUGCAUUACAAGAUUCCCAUGGCACUGGUUUCAACCCGUCCUAGAGAAACUCUGGAGUCGGCCAUGGGAAAGAUUGGUAUUGAUGGCGAUUUCAAUGUGAUUAUAGCUGCGGAGGAUGUUCACAGGGGAAAGCCUGAUCCAGAAAUGUUCGUCUAUGCAGCACAGCUUUUGAACUUCAUUCCUGAAAGGUGCAUUGUGUUUGGGAAUUCAAACCAAACUGUUGAAGCUGCUCAUGAUGCUCGGAUGAAGUGUGUGGCAGUUGCAAGCAAGCAUCCUGUUUAUGAACUUGGGGCUGCGGACUUGGUGGUGAGGCGUCUUGAUGAGCUGACAGUCGUCGAUUUGAAGAAUCUCGCCGAUAUUGAGUCCUCUGAAUUUGGGUCUGGAGAGCCAGAGUUGGAGAUGGAGUUGGAGGAAGAUGAUGAGUCUCCAUCAACCAUGACAGCAGUUGAUGAUAUUUUCUGGUGACAAUGGCUAAAUGUACAUAAUUUCUUGUUAUGAUUCUUAACGUUAAUAGUUCAUCUGUGUAUAAAAA
RNAcentral lists this unclassified non-coding RNA (964 nucleotides) under Hevea brasiliensis (rubber tree). Lineage: Eukaryota; Viridiplantae; Streptophyta; Magnoliopsida; Malpighiales; Euphorbiaceae. The record is from RNAcentral.